GAGUUUGAUCCUGGCUCAGAACGAACGCUGGCGGCGUGCUUAACACAUGCAAGUCGAACGUGAUUGAGAGCUUGCUCUCAUGAAAGUGGCGCACGGGUGAGUAACACGUGGAUAAUCUGCCUGGCGAUUCGGGAUAACACUUCGAAAGGGGUGCUAAUACCGGAUAAGCCCACGGUCUCUUCGGAGAGUGCGGGAAAAGGGGGCCUCUGUAUAUGCUCCUGUCGCUAGAUGAGUCCGCGGCCCAUUAGCUAGUUGGUAGGGUAAUGGCCUACCAAGGCUACGAUGGGUAGCUGGUCUGAGAGGAUGAUCAGCCACACUGGAACUGAGACACGGUCCAGACUCCUACGGGAGGCAGCAGUGGGGAAUUUUGCGCAWUGGGCGAAAGCCUGACGCAKCAACGCCGCGUGAGUGAUGAAGGCCUUCGGGUCGUWAAGCUCUGUCAGAGGGGAAGAACCGCCGGGUGGCUAAUACCUGCCUGGUCUGACGGUACCCUCAAAGGAAGCACCGGYUAACUCCGKGCCAGCAGCYGCGGUAAUACAAGGKCGAAUUCC
RNAcentral lists this ribosomal RNA (551 nucleotides) under uncultured Geobacteraceae bacterium. RNAcentral's name for it is "bacterial SSU rRNA". It matches the Rfam family "Bacterial small subunit ribosomal RNA", at positions 9 to 540 of the family's 1533-position model. The record is from RNAcentral. Lineage: Bacteria; Pseudomonadati; Thermodesulfobacteriota; Desulfuromonadia; Geobacterales; Geobacteraceae.